AACGAACGCUGGCGGCAUGCCUAACACAUGCAAGUCGAACGAGAUCCUUCGGGGUCUAGUGGCGCACGGGUGCGUAACGCGUGGGAAUCUGCCCUUAGGUUCGGAAUAACAGUUAGAAAUGACUGCUAAUACCGGAUGAUGACGUUAAGUCCAAAGAUUUAUCGCCUGAGGAUGAGCCCGCGUAGGAUUAGCUAGUUGGUGUGGUAAAGGCGCACCAAGGCGACGAUCCUUAGCUGGUCUGAGAGGAUGAUCAGCCACACUGGGACUGAGACACGGCCCAGACUCCUACGGGAGGCAGCAGUGGGGAAUAUUGGACAAUGGGCGCAAGCCUGAUCCAGCAAUGCCGCGUGAGUGAUGAAGGCCUUAGGGUUGUAAAGCUCUUUUACCCGAGAUGAUAAUGACAGUAUCGGGAGAAUAGCCCCGGCUAACUCCGUG
This 435-nucleotide ribosomal RNA is filed under the name uncultured bacterium. RNAcentral's name for it is "partial 16S ribosomal RNA". It matches the Rfam family "Bacterial small subunit ribosomal RNA", at positions 29 to 507 of the family's 1533-position model. The record is from RNAcentral.